Molecule: ribosomal RNA, 774 nt
Filed under: uncultured Neocallimastigales
Lineage: Eukaryota; Fungi; Neocallimastigomycota; Neocallimastigomycetes; Neocallimastigales
Description: partial large subunit ribosomal RNA
Rfam family: Eukaryotic large subunit ribosomal RNA
Source: RNAcentral
UAUCUCUGUAGAGUCUGCAUAUCAAUAAGCGGAGGAAAAGAAACUAACUAGGAUUCCCUCAGUAACGGCGAGUGAAGCGGGAAGAGCUCAAAUUUGAAAUCUUCAAGGUUCUACCUUGACGAAUUGUAGUUUAAAGAAGUGUUUUCUGUUGAGUUUCGGUAAAAGUUCUUUGGAAUAGGACAUCAUAGAGGGUGAGAAUCCCGUAUUUGACCAUUAUUUCCAGCUUUGUGAUACACUUUCAAAGAGUCGGAUUGUUUGGGAAUGCAGUCCAAAAUGGGUGGUAAAUUUCAUCUAAAGCUAAAUAUUGGCGAGAGACCGAUAGCGAACAAGUACCGUGAGGGAAAGAUGAAAAGAACUUUGAAAAGAGAGUUAAACAGUACGUGAAAUUGUCAAAAGGGAAGCGUUUGACACCAGUGUUGUUUUCUCGAAAAUCAAUUAAAAAAGGCAGGAUUUUGUGUUGUAUUGACUUUAUCAGCUUUCUGCACUCUUUUCUUGUCUUUUUUUAAUGCACUUUUCGUUUAACAAGUCAACAUCAAUUUCUUUUGUUGUAAAAGGGUCAUUGGAAGGUGGCUUUCUUUUCGGAGAAAGUGUUUAUAGCCUUUGGCCUCUGCAAUCGGAGAGAUUGAGGUCUGCAGCGUAGAUCCUUCGGGGUUAGAUACACUUUGUGCUAAGUUAUAGCCUUUCAUAGACAACUUGUUGACUAUGAUUAGUCAUGCGCUUACUCGCUUAUGCUAUUUUACCUACGCUUAGGAUGUUGAAGAUGUAGCACAUCAU